Long non-coding RNA from Gasterosteus aculeatus aculeatus (three-spined stickleback), 344 nucleotides. Lineage: Eukaryota; Metazoa; Chordata; Actinopteri; Perciformes; Gasterosteidae. The record is from Ensembl.
CACCGCCACCCCCCCACCGCCAACACCAGCGUCGGUGUCCUUGGCCCGAGCAUCCCGGCGGACGAAGGCCACUCCCGUUUUAUAAUUGAGCCGCACUAUCCUCUAGACAGACGUGGAGGAAGAGGAAAGACAACAGCAACGCGCCCAAGUACUGUCAUAUUCAUUCAUCUCAACCGCUUCCUGUCUUCAGAUCGUCGUCCACGCACCCGGUGGCCACGUACAAGAGGAGAAGAUGCCGGACUUGAGAUGAGACGUCUCGCUAAAAGCAACGAGAAGGACACAUUUUCAGCCCGGCCUCGGGAGAUUCAACCGCUAUGCGCCGCACAAAAAAAAAAAAAAAAAAC